UCAUUUGUAGGUUGUCCUGUGGAAA
RNAcentral lists this microRNA (25 nucleotides) under Equus caballus (horse). RNAcentral's name for it is "eca-miR-9100". Lineage: Eukaryota; Metazoa; Chordata; Mammalia; Perissodactyla; Equidae. The record is from miRBase by way of RNAcentral.